AACGAACGCUGGCGGCAUGCCUAACACAUGCAAGUCGAACGAGACCUUCGGGUCUAGUGGCGCACGGGUGCGUAACGCGUGGGAACCUGCCCUUAGGUUCGGAAUAACUCCCCGAAAGGGGUGCUAAUACCGGAUAAUGUCUUCGGACCAAAGAUUUAUCGCCUUUGGAUGGGCCCGCGUUGGAUUAGCUAGUUGGUAGGGUAAAAGCCUACCAAGGCGACGAUCCAUAGCUGGUCUGAGAGGAUGAUCAGCCACACUGGGACUGAGACACGGCCCAGACUCCUACGGGAGGCAGCAGUGGGGAAUAUUGGACAAUGGGCGAAAGCCUGAUCCAGCAAUGCCGCGUGAGUGAUGAAGGCCUUAGGGUUGUAAAGCUCUUUUACCCGGGAUGAUAAUGACAGUACCGGGAGUAUAAGCGCCGGCUAACUCCGUG
RNAcentral lists this ribosomal RNA (433 nucleotides) under uncultured bacterium. RNAcentral's name for it is "partial 16S ribosomal RNA". It matches the Rfam family "Bacterial small subunit ribosomal RNA", at positions 29 to 507 of the family's 1533-position model. The record is from RNAcentral.